GGUCUCCGUUGGUGAACCAGCGGAGGGAUCAUUACUGAGUUUACGCUCUACAACCCUUUGUGAACAUACCUACAACUGUUGCUUCGGCGGGUAGGGUCUCCGCGACCCUCCCGGCCUCCCGCCUCCGGGCGGGUCGGCGCCCGCCGGAGGAUAACCAAACUCUGAUUUAACGACGUUUCUUCUGAGUGGUACAAGCAAAUAAUCAAAACUUUUAACAACGGAUCUCUUGGUUCUGGCAUCGAUGAAGAACGCAGCGAAAUGCGAUAAGUAAUGUGAAUUGCAGAAUUCAGUGAAUCAUCGAAUCUUUGAACGCACAUUGCGCCCGCCAGCAUUCUGGCGGGCAUGCCUGUUCGAGCGUCAUUUCAACCCUCAAGCUCUGCUUGGUGUUGGGGCCCUACAGCCGAUGUAGGCCCUCAAAGGUAGUGGCGGACCCUCCCGGAGCCUCCUUUGCGUAGUAACUUUACGUCUCGCACUGGGAUCCGGAGGGACUCUUGCCGUAAAACCCCCCA
RNAcentral lists this ribosomal RNA (509 nucleotides) under Colletotrichum gloeosporioides. Its description in RNAcentral is "eukaryotic LSU rRNA". The stretch from base 207 to 360 matches the Rfam family "5.8S ribosomal RNA". The record is from RNAcentral. Lineage: Eukaryota; Fungi; Ascomycota; Sordariomycetes; Glomerellales; Glomerellaceae.